GCCCGGUUAGCUCAGUUGAUAGAACAUGGGACUCUUGAUCUCAGGAUCAUGGGAUUGAGCCCCAUGCUGGUUG
Pangasius djambal is the source of this 73-nucleotide non-coding RNA. Lineage: Eukaryota; Metazoa; Chordata; Actinopteri; Siluriformes; Pangasiidae. The record is from the annotation of a GenBank genome assembly.